GCCAAGAAGAUCUAGACUCUCCAAGUGUGCGGAUUUUGGAUUAUUGCAAAAUGAAAACUUUUAAAUGAAGUUAAAACUUAUUACACAAAGUUUUUAUGGAAAUCCAGGUUGGGAAAUGCGAUGAUGUGAAAGCAGCUUUGAAAAAGUCAAUGCAUAGCCACCAGCUAGGAAUUCUCACCUUUGCUGCAGCGUUUUAAUGAGUCAGCAUCCUUCAUUUGAUUCCUAUUAUAACGAAGAUGUGUGAAACCAGUUUCAGGUAUUCGGGGGUCUGAGGAUCUCCCAAUAUCCUGCCUGGGAACCAAGCGACUGGAAUGAAACCUCUACAAUCUAACCUGACUUCUUGCUGGAGGUCCUAGGAGUCACAAGAUCAUCCUCAAAGCUCUUCACAGGGGGCCUAUGGUCUCUGUUACUUGCUCCUGUUUUCUCUGGUUCUCUGAACAUCCUGAGUGGAAACCUAUGGUUUCCUGCUUCAGAAUACCUGUAUCAUCUACCUCACCUGUGAGUUCUUCUAGCUGUGCCUCUGCUUUACUUCCCUUUUCCACUCUGAAGAUUCCAAAUGGAACAGGACAUGGAGAAGCCAGCUAUGCAAACAGAAUGAGAUGUAAAAUAGUGUCCAAGGCCCCAAGGCACCAGAGAAGCCACUGAAGUGACAAUGACCAAGACUUUUAAAGCUACAAAACACAACAAGAAGGAGAACAUCACAGACACAAAAUUUAAAGGAAUUUCAAUGAAUUUGGGGGUGGAGAAUAGUUAGGGAGUUUGCAGCUGUUGAAGGAGAACUUAGGAGACUUCUACUGAACAAUAUUAUUUUGCUGUGGCCUAUGGAUCAAAAGCAGCUUCCAAGAACUUAUUAGGAAAGUAAAUACAUGAGUUCCUUGUCAGAACUACU
Long non-coding RNA from Fukomys damarensis (Damara mole-rat), 889 nucleotides. RefSeq lists it as uncharacterized. The transcript is spliced from 5 exons. Lineage: Eukaryota; Metazoa; Chordata; Mammalia; Rodentia; Bathyergidae. The record is from RefSeq and is a predicted model, not a curated record.